RNAcentral lists this long non-coding RNA (520 nucleotides) under Hordeum vulgare. RNAcentral's name for it is "long non-coding RNA (HVUL_LNC013129)". The record is from RNAcentral. Lineage: Eukaryota; Viridiplantae; Streptophyta; Magnoliopsida; Poales; Poaceae.
GGGGCAUAGGCUAAACACCGACUCAGGGUGUUCAGGACUCCUUUUCGGGCAGCUGAUAUUUUAAGUUCCUCUAUUUACAGCACGCUCCCGGUAUAUAGUUGCUCGGUGAAAGUAUAUAUAGCAUUUAGCUUCAGCAUGUCGUCGUCUAGAAGAUUGGCGGCUCGUGAACCUACAAAUGACACAUCAGUAUUUGAUAGUUUUUUGGGAGACCAGAUUAUUUCUUCAAUAGGCAAUGGUUAAUGCUUCAUAGCGACAGUCAUGUCGGAAAUGUGCUUUUUUAAGCCGGAAAGCUCUUGCUGGGCGGCUUCCAAUUUUUCCUCAGCUUGCUCAUCACGCUUAAGGAUGGCGGCUAGGUCAGCUUUGGCUUUCUUCUCCAGUUUUUGAUGGUCAGCCUUCAUCCUCUCCAGCUCAGCCAGAAUCAAGCGGUAUUUCCUCCCCGACUUAGAUUGUGCAUCUUGUUGUUCAGCCAGAUUCUUCCUUAAGUCGGCUAAAGCCGACUCAGUCUGGGUCAUAGACUCCU